RNAcentral lists this unclassified non-coding RNA (503 nucleotides) under Hevea brasiliensis (rubber tree). The record is from RNAcentral. Lineage: Eukaryota; Viridiplantae; Streptophyta; Magnoliopsida; Malpighiales; Euphorbiaceae.
AAGCUCUUGAAUUCACCAAAACUCACCUAAUAAUGGCAACCCAAUUUGGUUCUCCUCUUGCUGACCAAGUUAGCCAUGCUUUAAGGUGGCCUAUACGCAGAGGAUUACCAAGGAAAGAGUCAAGGGAUUAUUUCUCUAUUUACCAGCAAGACGAGGCACAUAUUAAACCUUUACUGAAGCUGGCAAAGUUGGAUUACAAUAUAGUGCAGAUGUUGCACCAAAAAGACAUGAACAUGAUCACAAAGUGGUGGAUAGAUUUGGACUUCACAACCAAACUACCUUUCGCUCGAGACAGAGUGAUCGAAUGCUCUUUCUGGGCAUUAGGAACGUUUUCUGAGCCACAAUAUGUUUUUGCGAGAGAAGUAUUGUCUAAAGCUGUUGCUAUGCUGUCUGUUAUGGAUGAUAUAUAUGAUGUGCAUGGUACGAUUGAAGAACUAGAGCUAUUCACCAAAGUGGUUGAGAGUUGGGAUAUUAGCAUCAAAGAUCAACUUCCGGAUUACAUG